GCGUAAAGGGCGCGCAGGCGGUUUCUUAAGUCUGAUGUGAAAGCCCACCCCUCUUCUGUGGAGGGUCAUUGGAAACUGGGGAACUUGAGUGCCCAAGAGAAGAGUGGAAUUCCACGUGUAGCGGUGAAAUGCGUAGAGAUGUGGAGGAACACCAGUGGCGAAGGCGGCUCUCUGGUCUGUAACUGACGCUGAGGAGCGAAAGCGUGGGGAGCAAACAGGAUUAGAUACCCUGGUAGUCCACGCCGUAAACGAUGAGUGCUAAGUGUUA
This 268-nucleotide ribosomal RNA is filed under the name Priestia megaterium. Its description in RNAcentral is "Bacillus megaterium partial 16S ribosomal RNA". It matches the Rfam family "Bacterial small subunit ribosomal RNA", at positions 558 to 825 of the family's 1533-position model. Lineage: Bacteria; Bacillati; Bacillota; Bacilli; Caryophanales; Bacillaceae. The record is from RNAcentral.